Podarcis lilfordi (Lilford's wall lizard) is the source of this 97-nucleotide non-coding RNA. The record is from the annotation of a GenBank genome assembly. NCBI's taxonomy places the organism in Eukaryota, Metazoa, Chordata, Lepidosauria, Squamata, Lacertidae.
CCUCCAGAUGUUUUGGGACUACAACUCCCACCAUCCCUGACCAACUGGACCUGUUAGCUAGGGAUGAUGGGAGUUGUAGUCCCAAAACAUCUGGAGG